Molecule: long non-coding RNA, 320 nt
Organism: Cyprinodon tularosa
Lineage: Eukaryota; Metazoa; Chordata; Actinopteri; Cyprinodontiformes; Cyprinodontidae
Exons: 3
Source: RefSeq, a predicted model, not a curated record
GGAAGGAAACAUUCUGCUUUCUAUGAAAUCAGCUUGCAUAAGAACAAACACAUGUUGUGAGAAUGGACUGAUCUGGAUUCAAACCCAGGACCUACUUGCUGUGAGAAAGCCAUCUAGUUAAAGACCUGGAAACCCACACCUGGGAUCAGAAUCUGAGAGACACCUGGAAAGUUCUCACACCAGAGAAGAACCCCGGAUCCAUCUGUCAGCCCUCCUGUCUGCGCUCGCCUGCCUGUCCACCCUCCAACAAACCAACACAGAGAGAGAAUAUGGAUCUGCACCAACAACCCGUACCACUGAACAGCACUUCUUCCCCAAGA